GAUGAACGCUGGCGGCGUGCCUAAUACAUGCAAGUCGAGCGAACGGACGAGAAGCUUGCUUCUCUGAUGUUAGCGGCGGACGGGUGAGUAACACGUGGAUAACCUACCUAUAAGACUGGGAUAACUUCGGGAAACCGGAGCUAAUACCGGAUAAUAUUUUGAACCGCAUGGUUCAAAAGUGAAAGACGGUCUUGCUGUCACUUAUAGAUGGAUCCGCGCUGCAUUAGCUAGUUGGUAAGGUAACGGCUUACCAAGGCAACGAUGCAUAGCCGACCUGAGAGGGUGAUCGGCCACACUGGAACUGAGACACGGUCCAGACUCCUACGGGAGGCAGCAGUAGGGAAUCUUCCGCAAAGGGCGAAAGCCUGACGGAGCAACGCCGCGUGAGUGAUGAAGGUCUUCGGAUCGUAAAGCUCUGUUAUUAGGGAAGAACAGAUGUGUAAGUAACUGUGCACAUCUUGACGGUACCUAAUCAGAAAGCCACGGCUAACUACGUG
RNAcentral lists this ribosomal RNA (497 nucleotides) under uncultured bacterium. RNAcentral describes it as "partial 16S ribosomal RNA". It matches the Rfam family "Bacterial small subunit ribosomal RNA", at positions 28 to 507 of the family's 1533-position model. The record is from RNAcentral.